UGUGCUUGCACAGAGGGAACUGACGAUAGUUAAGAUUGCGUGUGUUUGUGCGUGCAUGGGUGGGUGUGUGGGUGGGUGGCUUCAGGCUGUAGGCUUCAGGCUGCUGGUCUGGGGCCCAGUGUAGUGUGUCUCUCUAUCUGUGUUUUCAUGUUUGUGUGAUUUGAAUUGUGAUUUUGUGGAUUCAAAUAAAGUAUUUAAAACGUGUGUGUUUGUUUCUCUCCCUCUGUGUGUUGUGGUGUUCAGAGGAGAGGGCUCUGUGGCGGUCCUCCUCUCUGUGCUCCGGUCCCCAUGGAGAAACCCCCCAAUGUCCUCUCUCUCUCUCUCUCUCUCUCUCUCUCUCUCUCUCUCUCUCUCUCUCUCUCUCUCUCUCUCUCUCUCUCUCCAGCUACACCAGGAGAUGUUUUGAUGUCAGCUGCAUCUCUUUGUCUCUUCCUCCCUCUCCCCUCAUCUUUUUCUUUAUCGUUUUCUCUUUUCCCGUUCCCUCCCUCUCUCGCUGUCUCUCUGCAAAGCUCAGGUUGUGGUGCUUACAGGACUCGGCAGCGCCACUGUACUCCUCACCAUUUGAUCAUUAAUUUAUCACAGCUCCAACAGUUUGUUUGACAGGUGCAGUAACUUUCAUCUGGUGGGCUUGGCAGCAUUUGCUGCUCUCUCUCUCUCUCUCUGACUCCCCCUCUCUCCCCCUGUCUUUUGCUUCUCCUCCUCUCUCCCCCCUCCCAUCUCUCCUCACCCUUCUCUCUCUCUCCACUUUCUCUCAGCCCUGGUAAGGUGAAAGUAAAGACAGGAGCCACCUCUCCCUAACAGGAUCCAUUUGCCCCUCUCUGGUAAUGAGAAGACAAACAUACACUGUUCCUCUCUGAUACAUCAUGUUUUAUUGAUACAGUCAGCUUAGGGAAUACAUGAAUGGGAACAGGAGGAUCAUUUGGGGGCCUUGUAGGCCUAUGUGUAACUAGCUGGUGAUGUUGUUGUUAAUCGACUUGUGGUGCUAUAGCAACAGCAUAGCUCUUUCUUUGUAUCUCUCUACCAUCUCUCUCAGUAUAUGUAUUUAUAUCACUGAUGUAUCUUUGUCUUGUUACCCCUCCAUCUUUCUUCCUGAAACUAUCUUUUCUCUUUCUUCCACAAAGAUUAAUCUACCUUGUCUGAUUGGUAACCUGAACAGGAAGGUUGUGUGGAGAGACUCCAUCAUGAUGAGUUGAUCAUCCCUGAUCAGAGAAAGGCCCUUAGUUCAUCCAUUAUAUUGACCCAGAGUAAAGGUUCAUACCAUUAUAUUGACCCAGAGUAAAGGUUCAUAUCAGUAUAUUGACCCAGAGUAAAGGUUCAUAUCAGUAUAUUGACCCAGAGUAAAGGUUCAUACCAGUAUAUUGACCCAGAGUAAAGGUUCAUACCAGAAUAUUGACCCAGAGUAAAGGUUCAUACCAGUAUAUUGACCCAGAGUAAAGGUUCAUACCAUUAUAUUGACCCAGAAAAAGGUUCAUGCCAUUAUAUUGACCCAGAGUAAAGGUUCAUACCAUUAUAUUGACCCAGAAAAAAGGUUCAUACCAUUAUAUUGACCAAGAGUAAAGGUUCAGACCAGGAUGUUGACCCAGAGUAAAGGUUCAGGACAGAAAGCCUAUAGCAACAGCAUAGCUCUUUCUUUGUAUCUCUCUACCAUCUCUCUCAGUAUAUGUAUUUAUAUCACUGAUGUAUCUUUGUCUUGUUACCCCUCCAUCUUUCUUCCUGAAACUAUCUUUUCUCUUUCUUCCACAAAGAUUAAUCUACCUUGUCUGAUUGGUAACCUGAACAGGAAGGUUGUGUGGAGAGACUCCGUCAUGAUGAGUUGAUCAUCCCUGAUCAGAGAAAGGCCGUUAGUUCACUCUGCUCUCUGUGGGAAUGUGCUAACAUACACCGCCUGUGUCCAGCUCAGCCCACCCACUCCUUACCGUCAGACUGUCCUUCUCUCUUUUUCUCUGUAUUUUUCACUGUUCCUGUCUUUUUCUUCACAUGCCAUACUUUCCCUCUCACUUCCUCUUUUAAAUCCAUCUCUGUCUACCAACUGUAAACCAUUAAACAGCCCCUCCUUCCUCUCCCAUAUCUAUCUUCACUCCACUAUUAAGGCAUUCUCUCUCUGUCCUAAUCCUGUGAACAACAUUUUUAUUCCUGGAUACUGGAUGUUGUAUGAGAUCAAGGGCCCCUAUAGCCUCAUAGGUUCUCAUAGAUCAAGGGCCCCUAUAGCCUCAUAGGUUCUCAUAGAUCAGUGGCCCCUAUAGCCUCAUAGGUUCUCAUAGAUCAAGGGCCCCUAGAGCCUCAUAGGUUCUCAUAGAUCAAGGCCUCCAGAAGAGCAGCUUAGGAUACCCUCAUAUCUCUCCCACCCUCCAUCAUUUACUCUCUCCCUCCAUUCUUUACAUCCAUAAUUACUCCCUCUCCCUCUCUCUCGCUUCCUCCCUCUCCCUCUCUCUCUCUUGCUCUCUCUUGCUCUCUCCCCCUCCCUCUCCGUCUCUCUCUCUCUCUCUCGCUCUC
Molecule: long non-coding RNA, 2493 nt
Filed under: Salmo salar (Atlantic salmon)
Lineage: Eukaryota; Metazoa; Chordata; Actinopteri; Salmoniformes; Salmonidae
Description: lncRNA (ENSSSAG00000093211.1)
Source: RNAcentral